UUAAAGCUUAACUUUUCCCCCCCCCCUCACUCCGUAAGAUUAAAUGACCCCUUACCCAAUAUUGAAUGACUUCAUAAUUAUAUGAAAAUCAUCAUGCCGGAACUAGUAACAAGAAUUUAACAUUCUCCAAAAUGUAAGCAUAAACUAAAAUGGACUGCCCACUAGUGAUUAACGUAAAUGAAACUAAUACACCAACAACCCAAGAAAAACCUGUAUGCCCGCUCCAAACGUUAACCUGACACAAGAACACUUAGGGAAAGAUUAAAAGAAAAAGAAGGAACUCGGCAAACUUUAACCCCGCCUGUUUACCAAAAACAUCGCCUCUUGAUAUAAUAUAAGAGGUCCAGCCUGCCCAGUGAAAAUUCAACGGCCGCGGUACACUGACCGUGCAAAGGUAGCAUAAUCACUCGCCCCUUAAUUAGGGGCCUGUAUCAACGGCAUCACGAGGGUUAUUCUGUCUCCUUUUUCUAAUCAGUGAAACUGAUCUACCCGUGAAAAAGCGGGUAUUUAACUAUAAGACGAGAAGACCCCAUGGAGCUUUAAACCAAAGGCAAAUUAAAUCUACAUACCACCACAGCUAUUAUACCAUGCCCAUCGGUUUUAGGUUGGGGCAACCGCGGAGAAAAACUUAACCUCCACAACGAAAAGACCUUAGUCUUUACCCCAGAGCCACCGCUCUAAGAACUAGGAUACUAACAGAUAAUGAUCCAACUCUCUGUAGUUGAUCAACGGACCAAGUUACCCUGGGGAUAACAGCGCAAUCUACUUUGAGAGUUCUUAUUGACAAGUGGGUUUACGACCUCGAUGUUGGAUCAGGGUAUCCUAGUGGUGCAGCCGCUACUAAAGGUUCGUUUGUUCAACGAUUAAAACC
The sequence is a ribosomal RNA, 871 nucleotides long. It matches the Rfam family "Bacterial large subunit ribosomal RNA", at positions 1390 to 2595 of the family's 2925-position model.